RNAcentral lists this ribosomal RNA (484 nucleotides) under uncultured bacterium. RNAcentral's name for it is "partial 16S ribosomal RNA". It matches the Rfam family "Bacterial small subunit ribosomal RNA", at positions 30 to 507 of the family's 1533-position model. The record is from RNAcentral.
AUUGAACGCUGGCGGCAGGCCUAACACAUGCAAGUCGAGCGGAUGAAGGGAGCUUGCUCCUGGAUUCAGCGGCGGACGGGUGAGUAAUGCCUAGGAAUCUGCCUGGUAGUGGGGGAUAACGUCCGGAAACGGGCGCUAAUACCGCAUACGUCCUGAGGGAGAAAGUGGGGGAUCUUCGGACCUCACGCUAUCAGAUGAGCCUAGGUCGGAUUAGCUAGUUGGUGGGGUAAAGGCCUACCAAGGCGACGAUCCGUAACUGGUCUGAGAGGAUGAUCAGUCACCCUGGAACUGAGACACGGUCCAGGCUCCUGCGGGAGGCAGCAGUGGGGAAUAUUGGACAAUGGGCGAAAGCCUGGUCCAGCCAUGCCGCGUGUGUGAAGAAGGUCUUCGGAUUGUAAAGCACUCUAAGUUGGGAGGAAGGGCAGUAAGUUAAUACCUUGCUGUUUUGACGUUACCAACAGAAUAAGCACCGGCUAACUUCGUG